Molecule: ribosomal RNA, 476 nt
Filed under: Shigella sonnei
Lineage: Bacteria; Pseudomonadati; Pseudomonadota; Gammaproteobacteria; Enterobacterales; Enterobacteriaceae
Description: partial 23S ribosomal RNA
Rfam family: Bacterial large subunit ribosomal RNA
Source: RNAcentral
UCCGGGGAUAACAGGCUGAUACCGCCCAAGAGUUCAUAUCGACGGCGGUGUUUGGCACCUCGAUGUCGGCUCAUCACAUCCUGGGGCUGAAGUAGGUCCCAAGGGUAUGGCUGUUCGCCAUUUAAAGUGGUACGCGAGCUGGGUUUAGAACGUCGUGAGACAGUUCGGUCCCUAUCUGCCGUGGGCGAUGGAGAACUGAGGGGGGCUGCUCCUAGUACGAGAGGACCGGAGUGGACGCAUCACUGGUGUUCGGGUUGUCAUGCCAAUGGCACUGCCCGGUAGCUAAAUGCGGAAGAGAUAAGUGCUGAAAGCAUCUAAGCACGAAACUUGCCCCGAGAUGAGUUCUCCCUGACCCUUUAAGGGUCCUGAAGGAACGUUGAAGACGACGACGUUGAUAGGCCGGGUGUGUAAGCGCAGCGAUGCGUUGAGCUAACCGGUACUAAUGAACCGUGAGGCUUAACCUUACAACGCCGAAG